GAUGAACGCUGGCGGCGUGCCUAAUACAUGCAAGUCGAGCGAACGGACGAGAAGCUUGCUUCUCUGAUGUUAGCGGCGGACGGGUGAGUAACACGUGGAUAACCUACCUAUAAGACUGGGAUAACUUCGGGAAACCGGAGCUAAUACCGGAUAAUAUUUUGAACCGCAUGGUUCAAAAGUGAAAGACGGUCUUGCUGUCACUUAUAGAUGGAUCCGCGCUGCAUUAGCUAGUUGGUAAGGUAACGGCUUACCAAGGCAACGAUGCAUAGCCGACCUGAGAGGGUGAUCGGCCACACUGAAACUGAGACACGGUCCAGACUCCUACGGGAGGCAGCAGUAGGGAAUCUUCCGCAAUGGGCGAAAGCCGGACGGAGCAACGCCGCGUGGGUGAUGAAGGUCUUCGGAUCGUAAAACUCUGUUAUUAGGGAAGAACAUAUGUGUAAGUAACUGUGCACAUCUUGACGGUACCAAUCAGAAAGCCACGGCUAACUACGUG
RNAcentral lists this ribosomal RNA (496 nucleotides) under uncultured bacterium. RNAcentral describes it as "partial 16S ribosomal RNA". It matches the Rfam family "Bacterial small subunit ribosomal RNA", at positions 28 to 507 of the family's 1533-position model. The record is from RNAcentral.